RNAcentral lists this ribosomal RNA (484 nucleotides) under uncultured bacterium. Its description in RNAcentral is "partial 16S ribosomal RNA". It matches the Rfam family "Bacterial small subunit ribosomal RNA", at positions 30 to 507 of the family's 1533-position model. The record is from RNAcentral.
AUUGAACGCUGGCGGCAGGCCUAACACAUGCAAGUCGAGCGGAUGAAGGGAGCUUGCUCCUGGAUUCAGCUGCGGACGGGUGAGUAAUGCCUAGGAAUCUGCCUUGUAGUGGGGGAUAACGUCCGUACACGGGCGCUAAUACCGCAUACGUCCUGAGGGAGAAAGUGGGGGAUCUUCGGACCUCACGCUCUCAGCUGAGCCUAGGUCGGAUUAGCUAGUUGGUGGGGUAAAGGCCUACCAAGGCGACGAUCCGUAACUGGUCUGAGAGGAUGAUCAGUCACACUGGAACUGAGACACGGUCCAGACUCCUACGGGAGGCAGCAGUGGGGAAUAUUGGACAAUGGGCGAAAGCCUGAUCCAGCCAUGCCGCGUGUGUGAAGAAGGUCUUCGGAUUGUAAAGCACUUUAAGUUGGGAGGAAGGGCAGUAAGUUAAUACCUUGCUGUUUUGACGUUACCAACAGAAUAAGCACCGGCUAACUUCGUG